GGGAGGAUAAAAAGAAAACUAUGUCAGAAAUGCUGCCAAGCUCAUAACUAUAAUUAUACUAUAUAGGAAACACUGUGUAUUACUAUUAAGCUCAUCUUUACUAUCAAGGAUUCCGAAGAUUCCACACAUUCUAAGAAAAGAAUGAAAAGAAAAGAAGAUAAUAUAGUAUAUCAUGCUAUCUACCCUUAGCAUCUUACAAAAUCUCAAAAUGAACAAGUAAAAUCAUGGACUAGUCAGAAAUUGAUUAGCUAUCCAGCCAGAACGAUGGUAAUUACUACAGCUUAGAAAGACAAUUAAAUGCCUGGCAAACAAUGUCCACAGUUAUUACUCAACAAUAUUAAAUGAUCAAUGCUUAACUAAGGCCAUCAGCCAACAACAAUGAUAACAAAACCAUCCUUAUUAAUUCCAUUAUUGCAGUGAUGGGUAAUAAAGGCUUUAAGAGAUAUAUAAAAAGGCAAAAGAGUUCAUUUAAACAAUGUCUAAUUUGUAUUGGUGAACUAGGAUUUUGUUGAUAUGUUUGGAUUAGAUAGUUUUAAUAUUUUGAUAAGUCUAUAGCUUAUUAUAACUCCCUUGAGUUUAGAUUCUUACCCUAUAGAAGAGAAUAUAUGAUUUCAACUUGCAGCAGUGACUGUUGAAUUAUUGAUAUAUUGAGAUUUUUUUUUUUUUGAUGACCAAAAUAUUGAGAUUUUCCUUCUAAAUUCUUCUUCUAUCUUCUCUAAUUCUCUUUCAGUCUCUUCUUCACUUCUCCUUAUUUCUCCUCUAUUUUUUUAUUUUUUUAUUUUUUUGUUCUCUCCUCUCUAUUUCUCUGUUAUCUUCUCCUUUAUUUAGUUCUUCGUAAAGUUCUGCAUCAAUUUGGUAUCAAAGCCUACUCUUCCCUCUGACCGAAUUCUCAUGAAAGUUUUGCUAUCGUUUGUGUUAUAUCCACCUCCAUUGUUCAUCCAAAAGUAUUAUUUAAUCAGAAGUCAAAAGAAAAAAAUGAUGUCAGCAUAUGAGUUUCAGUUUUGUAGCAACAAAGCCAAUCCAUUAUAGACUGACUGCUGAUUGAAGACCCACAUAAGCAACCCAAUACAACAAAAAAGAAAAGCACAACAGGUUGAAAUGCACGAUGAAGAGGUUAAUUCAAGAAGUAGCCGAACAAACAAAGCACGGGAAGUUGUUGCAUGAGGCUCAGUAAAAGGUAGAAACAGAACACUCCGACUGGAUUGCAAAACUAGCAAUAACAUCUUGGUUAUAACAUAGCCACUACACUCCAAGUCAACAUCAUUUAGUGGAGACGAGAAUCAGUUUAUAUUGGAAAGAGUUUAACUUGAAGGAGCCUAGGUCUCUUAGCAAAGAAAUGAUGGGGAAUAAAGGUAAGCAAUAGGAAAAAAAGGUUUAGCAGUCCCCUUGAGUUUAGAUUCUUUCUCUGUAAAAGAGAACCUAGGAUUUCAAUUUACAUUAGACUAUUGAUUAUAUUAAAUCCUCCUCUACAAUCUCUCUUACACGGCAAAACCUUCUCAUGGAGUUUGGAAAUGAUAUCUUUUUGUUUGCAAAGCACAUGGCAAAGUACCAAAUGAAAAGGUACCAUAUGAUGUCAUAAAGCAAUUGCAAGGAAGAACU
Molecule: long non-coding RNA, 1599 nt
Filed under: Olea europaea (common olive)
Lineage: Eukaryota; Viridiplantae; Streptophyta; Magnoliopsida; Lamiales; Oleaceae
Description: long non-coding RNA (OEUR_LNC003089)
Source: RNAcentral